RNAcentral lists this ribosomal RNA (546 nucleotides) under uncultured Actinomycetes bacterium. RNAcentral describes it as "bacterial SSU rRNA". It matches the Rfam family "Bacterial small subunit ribosomal RNA", at positions 286 to 843 of the family's 1533-position model. The record is from RNAcentral. Lineage: Bacteria; Bacillati; Actinomycetota; Actinomycetes.
GCCGGCCUGAGAGGGCACCGGCCACACUGGGACUGAGACACGGCCCAGACUCCUACGGGAGGCAGCAGUGGGGAAUAUUGCGCAAUGGGCGAAAGCCUGACGCAGCGACGCCGCGUGAGGGACGAAGGCCUUCGGGUCGUAAACCUCUUUCAGCAGGGACGAAGCGCAAGUGACGGUACCUGCAGAAGAAGCACCGGCUAACUACGUGCCAGCAGCCGCGGUAAUACGUAGGGUGCAAGCGUUGUCCGGAAUUAUUGGGCGUAAAGAGCUCGUAGGCGGCUUGUCACGUCUGCUGUGAAAACUUGGGGCUCAACUCCAAGCCUGCAGUGGAUACGGGCUAGCUAGAGUGCGGUAGGGGAGACCGGAAUUCCUGGUGUAGCGGUGAAAUGCGCAGAUAUCAGGAGGAACACCGGUGGCGAAGGCGGGUCUCUGGACCGAUACUGACGCUGAGGAGCGAAAGCGUGGGGAGCGAACAGGAUUAGAUACCCUGGUAGUCCACGCCGUAAACGUUGGGCGCUAGGUGUGGGGAUCUUUCCACGAUCUCCG